RNAcentral lists this ribosomal RNA (168 nucleotides) under Atherion elymus. Its description in RNAcentral is "partial 12S ribosomal RNA". Lineage: Eukaryota; Metazoa; Chordata; Actinopteri; Atheriniformes; Atherinidae. The record is from RNAcentral.
CACCGCGGUUAUACGAGAGGCCCAAGUUAAUACCCCCCGGCGUAAAGGGUGGUUAAGAAAAAUUUUUACUAGGGCUAAAUAUUCUCCAAGCUGUCAUACGCACCUGAGAAAAAGAGAACCUUAUACGAAAGUGGCCUUAACUUAUCUGAAUCCACGAAAGCCAGGGAA